This 434-nucleotide ribosomal RNA is filed under the name uncultured bacterium. Its description in RNAcentral is "partial 16S ribosomal RNA". It matches the Rfam family "Bacterial small subunit ribosomal RNA", at positions 29 to 507 of the family's 1533-position model. The record is from RNAcentral.
AGCGAACGCUGGCGGCAGGCCUAACACAUGCAAGUCGAACGAACCUCUCGGGGUUAGUGGCGGACGGGUGAGUCACACGUGGGAACGUGCCUUUAGGUUCGGAAUAACUCAGGGAAACUUGUGCUAAUAAAGAAUGUGUCCUUCCGGGGAAAGAUUGGUUGGCCUUAGAGCGGCCUGGGUCGGUUUGGCUAGUUGGGUGGGGUAAUGGCACGGCCAGGCGGGGGGCAGUAGCUGGGCUGAGAGAAGGCUCAGCCACAUUUGGACUGAGGCCCGGCCCAAACUCCUACGGAGGGGAGGGGAAGAUAAUCUUACGCAAGGGACGAAGACCUGACGCAGCCGUGCCGCGUGAAUGAGGAAGGGCUUUGGAUUGCAAAAUUCUUUCUCCCGAGGCGAUAAUGACGGUACCGGGAGAAGAAGCCCCGGCUAACUUCGUG